This is a long non-coding RNA of Momordica charantia (bitter melon), 464 nucleotides long. RefSeq lists it as uncharacterized. Lineage: Eukaryota; Viridiplantae; Streptophyta; Magnoliopsida; Cucurbitales; Cucurbitaceae. The record is from RefSeq and is a predicted model, not a curated record.
AGCCAUUUUUUGGCUGCGAAGGAAGACGAGAUCAGAACAAUGAGAGCAAGUGGAAGAGAUCAAUAGUUGCAGCUAGCAAUGGCAGAAAAAGCAGCUGCACCUCAACAACAGAUGAUGUCGUACUAUGAUCAUGUCCAAAAGCGAAGAGAAGACAAAGGCUGYCUCUAUGCUUUUUUGUUUACACUAUGUUGCUGCUGUUGCUGCUACGAGACUUGUGAGUGUUGUGUGGAUGGCAUCUGCUGCUGCUCUUAGCCUCUCUCUACAAACUAUAUGCUCCUCUCUUUAAUGGACCUCUGCUUCCUAAAAAUAGUUUCCUAUUUUUUUAAAAUCAAACUUUUUAGUGAUCAUAUCAUCGUUCAGAUUAUUAUUCUUUUAAAUUUUGUUUUUUUUUAUUUCUAAUAUGAACCUAGCUUAUCGGUAAUUGACGCUUAUCUCUAACCGAAAGGUCACCGGUUUUAAUCUUC